Molecule: ribosomal RNA, 465 nt
Filed under: Vreelandella stevensii
Lineage: Bacteria; Pseudomonadati; Pseudomonadota; Gammaproteobacteria; Oceanospirillales; Halomonadaceae
Description: partial 16S ribosomal RNA
Rfam family: Bacterial small subunit ribosomal RNA
Source: RNAcentral
CCUACGGGUGGCAGCAGUGGGGAAUAUUGGACAAUGGGGGCAACCCUGAUCCAGCCAUGCCGCGUGUGUGAAGAAGGCCCUCGGGUUGUAAAGCACUUUCAGUGAGGAAGAACGCCUGGUGGUUAAUACCCAUCAGGAAAGACAUCACUCACAGAAGAAGCACCGGCUAACUCCGGGCCAGCAGCCGCGGUAAUACGGAGGGGGCGAGCGUUAAUCGGAAUUACUGGGCGUAAAGCGCGCGUAGGUGGCUUGAUAAGCCGGUUGUGAAAGCCCCGGGCUCAACCUGGGAACGGCAUCCGGAACUGUCAAGCUAGAGUGCAGGAGAGGAAGGUAGAAUUCCCGGUGUAGCGGUGAAAUGCGUAGAGAUCGGGAGGAAUACCAGUGGCGAAGGCGGCCUUCUGGACUGACACUGACACUGAGGUGCGAAAGCGUGGGUAGCAAACAGGAUUAGAUACCCGAGUAGUC